UACGUAGGGGGCUAGCGUUGCUCGGAAUCACUGGGCGUAAAGCGCGCGCAGGCGGCUUUUUAAGUCAGGUGUGAAAUCCUGGAGCUCAACUCCAGAACUGCCUUUGAUACUGGGAAGCUUGAGUCCGGGAGAGGUGAGUGGAACUCCGAGUGUAGAGGUGAAAUUCGUAGAUAUUCGGAAGAACACCAGUGGCGAAGGCGGCUCACUGGGCCGGUACUGACGCUGAGGUGCGAAAGCGUGGGGAGCAAACAGG
RNAcentral lists this ribosomal RNA (253 nucleotides) under uncultured bacterium. RNAcentral's name for it is "partial 16S ribosomal RNA". It matches the Rfam family "Bacterial small subunit ribosomal RNA", at positions 524 to 776 of the family's 1533-position model. The record is from RNAcentral.